Long non-coding RNA from Talpa occidentalis (Iberian mole), 2742 nucleotides. RefSeq lists it as uncharacterized. The record is from RefSeq and is a predicted model, not a curated record. NCBI's taxonomy places the organism in Eukaryota, Metazoa, Chordata, Mammalia, Eulipotyphla, Talpidae. The transcript is spliced from 4 exons.
AUUCGGGGUGGGGCGGGGAAGGGGCGUCAAAUUCUGGAAGGGCUAAAUCCCAGGUGGGAGAAGAACAAGAAAGGAGGUCUCCUCCCCUGACAACACCAGCAACAGAGUUGGCUUCUAUUACCAGGUGUUCGGGAAACAUCUCAUUUCUUCGUCCGCAACCGAGAGUCCAGCAGGAGGGUGCUAGUGGGACCACGCUGGGCUCCCCACCUCCAUAGAGUCACGACUAUAUUGUGGCGGAGCAAAGAUAACAACCCCGAAGAUAAACAGAUGACAGCCUCAUACGUCAGGAGCAACAGCCUGGCGGAAAGGGGAAAGAAGCGCUCAGGAAUCCGAGCAGCGUAAAGGCCAGCUCCGGUGAUGUACAUCACAGCCAUGAGGAAGAACCAGCCCAUCUGGCCCACUGUCGUGGCCUUGACGAAGCCCUCGGCGAUAGUAAAGUGCAUCGUGGGCACGACGCCACUCAAGCCAAGUCCCAGGAACACUCCUGAACAAAACCAAGGUGAAGAGUCCAAGACUGUGACUCAUAGAGCACAGCCCUUCCUGUAUGCAUACUCGAAAACCAAGAAGUGUUUGUUGGAAUACCAACAACAGAAUUUACGGAAGAUAACCCAGUGGAGACGUGAAUUCUGAGUUGGAAAAGCUUUCAGGAGCACCUUGGAAAUCAAAUCGUAAUUCCAUGCAGAAAAACAAUGUCAACUUUCCUCCAGAGGCUGAUGCAUUGUUCUGUCCCAAUGAGACUAACAAGAAAGAUCUGAGGAAGCUUCCCUAGGGAGAAGGGAGUGGACUGGGUGAUGCAGGCACAGCAGAGAAGGGCAGUCAGGACAGAGGAGCUGGGGGUGCGGGAACAACUCUGUUCAGGCACCAACAUGUCUGGCUGGGGCUGGCGAUGUCAGGUUACUUUUUAAAGGAGAAGGCUUCUCUUCCAAACAGAAAGAUGAAACUUUGCUUUGUUAGCCAGUUACCCUGAAGGAUAAAUAUGGUGAAGGAAUGGACAAGAGACAGAAGAAUGGCCGAGACAAGGGAACACAGUGAGAGGUACCUGGCUCAAAAGCACCCCCUCUAAUGUGUUCUUCCCCCACCCUAAGAGCUUCCAGGGAGAAGCUGAGCUUCUGGCUCUGCUGAGACAGCUGCUAAGAUGAUCACUGAGCUUGGCGGCAGAUCACAUUUCAGCACACAGUACAUGAUGGCUGAAAGGCUCUUUGGAAGCCCUGGCCGAAAUUUUGCGCUGGGGAAACCCUCCCUCCCAAGAUAGCAGGGCAUGAAAAAUCUUGGAAACAAGGACCCCAGACACAACAACCCCUGAGGUAUGACACAGGGGCCUCAGCCCCAUUUAUUUGUGUAGCCAGAGGUUCCUGCCACAGCGCAGUCUUACACUUUGGGUAGGCAUUGCCUCCAGCCUGGGCAGGGGCAGAGAGACAGACACACACAUACAUAUUUCAGAUUCCUUCUCUGAGGGGUUGGAGAUCUGCAGAAACCAUUUCUUCUUUUCCUGCAGUCUCUAUAAGGCUACCUCUAUGAUUCUGCUCAACUUGUGCUCACACGUUCAAAAUCUGCUGUGGGUUAAGCAUGAAUAUUAAGUAGAACCCAUUACAUUGCUUUUCCUUGCAUCACAGACUAGCGCAAUGCCCUCGAGGGGCCAGUAGUCUUGGAAUAAAUGUUUUUUUUCCUUUUCUUUCCUUUCUCUUUCCCUUUCCUUCCCAGGCUUCCUUCUUUCUGACUCACAGAAGAGAUUAUUCCAUAGGCCUGACCAGGACUUUUUAUCAAAGGGGCCCUUCCAGUGAAUGACUCGGACUUGGCCCUUUUCCAUGGCCACAAGGAUGUUGUCCCUGCAAGCGCCAUCUAGAUUUUAGCUCCAGAGUGAGACCAAAAGGCUGGAAUUCUCAGGAAAGGCUUAUAGCAUUUGAGUACUGAUUGGGGACAGUUGCGGGAAGUGGGACCGGGAGACUAGGGGAUGCUCAGUAGGUAAAUCGCAUCUUUUGUGAGUAGCCCAGUUUGUCCAAGUUGGGAUGGCAGGCCAGCUGCACCAUCGGGGGAGGCCCGCAGAGCAGCAGCAGCACAUCAUCCCCUGGGGCUGGCAGGUGCUGGCGGAUCAUGUCGGCGGUGACGAAGCCUUUGCUGUAGGUCCAAUCUGAAGCAGAGGGGAGAGGAAAGAACUGAUGCUCCAGGCCCAAGCUGACAGGGGUUGUAGAGCCCAUAGGUGGGGCAGGGGGAGGACCCCAAAGGCACCUCAGAAGCCAUCCAGCUGUAGCAGCUGUAUACUCAGUCUGCCCCAGCAGCACAGACAUCCCUUCCCCCGCCCCAGGUAAACAGGCACCAGCCCAGAAGACCCCCAUGUCUACUCACUUGGGAGUUUGGCAGUGCCAGGGAGAGCUGGUUUCACUGCAGCCAGAACUCACAGAGGGGAAAGGCCCUGGUUUAGGGACGUCCAGAAAUGGGGAGGGUACCUUUUGGUGGAUGAUCCAGAGUAAACCAGAGCUUCAUGCGAUUGGGAUACUGGGCCUGUAGUUCCUCCAAAUCUUCCCGUAAGAUUAUGUCAUUUUCAGUCUGAAACGAAAAUGAGAAGGGGUAACAAAGUUUUUAGGAAUGUUUUUGAGGCCACUCAAAAAAAAUUUUCUGCUCUAACAAUUUUUCAACCGGGAGUGAAAAAUAAUGGUGAAGUUCUAGGGAGUGAGCAAGACUUUUAGGGAGUUAGGAUGAGGGGAAGGUGAGGGAAACAGCCUUUGUUUAUAUAGCAUGAAGGAA